UCCUAACCACCACCCUCAACACACAAUUGCUCUUUUCGUAGGUUAAUGAUGAACUUGUACUUGAAGCUGCGGUGUGACCUGCCCCCAAAGAGUUUCUCUCAGGAGUUGAGCAGUCCGGACCAGAGUGCUGAACUGAAGCCAAAAAACAAGGCUGUCCACUGGGAGAUCCCUCGCUUCCGUGGGGGGCGCCCAGCUCUCCGCCCUGUUCAAGCUGGAGGUCCCUGGCCUUAGCUCUGCCUCAUUACAGGAAGUAGGACCGGUCAGUCUGAGCUUUGAGCUAUCGAAGUACACCUGCCCAGGACUGCAAAUUAGAUUCCUCUGCCUGUUCCCGUCAGACUCGUGUACCAUCCGUAUCUGAUGCGGACAUGCAGUGCACACAGACAAACCAUCUAUCACUCAGAAUCUGGUCUACUCUCAAUAUGGAUGUGAACCCUGAUCUUGACUGCCUGAUAAAGUCAAGGGACUUUUGUUUGACAUGUUAAUUCUGUGUAUUGGAGUGACCCAAUAGAAAUGCAUCUACUAAACCAAAAAAGCUACACCUACAUUAUAUUAUGUCAUAUGGGAAACUAUUCAGGAAAAUCUAUGAAUGUGCAUAGAAACUUUCAGCACCCUUCCUGUUUUUCAAAUGUAUUUUAUUUAACCUUUAUUUAACCAGGUAGGCCAGUUGAGAACAAGUUCUCAUUUACUA
Oncorhynchus kisutch (coho salmon) is the source of this 688-nucleotide long non-coding RNA. RefSeq lists it as uncharacterized. The transcript is spliced from 3 exons. The record is from RefSeq and is a predicted model, not a curated record. NCBI's taxonomy places the organism in Eukaryota, Metazoa, Chordata, Actinopteri, Salmoniformes, Salmonidae.